GCCUCUGUAGCUCAGUCGGUUAGAGAGCUGCACCAGAAUCGCAGGGUCGCAGGUUCAAUUCCUGCCAGGGACC
RNAcentral lists this transfer RNA (73 nucleotides) under Paramuricea clavata. It matches the Rfam family "tRNA". From Rfam's summary of the family: Transfer RNA (tRNA) molecules are approximately 80 nucleotides in length. Their secondary structure includes four short double-helical elements and three loops (D, anti-codon, and T loops). The record is from Rfam by way of RNAcentral. Lineage: Eukaryota; Metazoa; Cnidaria; Anthozoa; Malacalcyonacea; Plexauridae.